This 738-nucleotide ribosomal RNA is filed under the name Escherichia coli. RNAcentral describes it as "partial 23S ribosomal RNA". It matches the Rfam family "Bacterial large subunit ribosomal RNA", at positions 612 to 1349 of the family's 2925-position model. The record is from RNAcentral. Lineage: Bacteria; Pseudomonadati; Pseudomonadota; Gammaproteobacteria; Enterobacterales; Enterobacteriaceae.
AUAAUGGGUCAGCGACUUAUAUUCUGUAGCAAGGUUAACCGAAUAGGGGAGCCGAAGGGAAACCGAGUCUUAACUGGGCGUUAAGUUGCAGGGUAUAGACCCGAAACCCGGUGAUCUAGCCAUGGGCAGGUUGAAGGUUGGGUAACACUAACUGGAGGACCGAACCGACUAAUGUUGAAAAAUUAGCGGAUGACUUGUGGCUGGGGGUGAAAGGCCAAUCAAACCGGGAGAUAGCUGGUUCUCCCCGAAAGCUAUUUAGGUAGCGCCUCGUGAAUUCAUCUCCGGGGGUAGAGCACUGUUUCGGCAAGGGGGUCAUCCCGACUUACCAACCCGAUGCAAACUGCGAAUACCGGAGAAUGUUAUCACGGGAGACACACGGCGGGUGCUAACGUCCGUCGUGAAGAGGGAAACAACCCAGACCGCCAGCUAAGGUCCCAAAGUCAUGGUUAAGUGGGAAACGAUGUGGGAAGGCCCAGACAGCCAGGAUGUUGGCUUAGAAGCAGCCAUCAUUUAAAGAAAGCGUAAUAGCUCACUGGUCGAGUCGGCCUGCGCGGAAGAUGUAACGGGGCUAAACCAUGCACCGAAGCUGCGGCAGCGACGCUUAUGCGUUGUUGGGUAGGGGAGCGUUCUGUAAGCCUGCGAAGGUGUGCUGUGAGGCAUGCUGGAGGUAUCAGAAGUGCGAAUGCUGACAUAAGUAACGAUAAAGCGGGUGAAAAGCCCGCUCGCCGGAAGACCAAG